GGCACAUGCUGCGGACAACGUUCGGGCUUGGAGCUGCCAGCGAGCGACGUGCCCAGCCUGGGCCGGACCUGCUGCAUGGUUCCCCCAACACCUCGUGCUCGGAGGCAAGGGCAUGGCAGCAAACUGGCCCGGCCCGGCUUCUCCCGGGCUGGAGAGGCAGCUGGCAGUAGCCAAGUUACAUUCCUUCUUCCGUGCCGAUGCGUUGUGAGCUCAGCUGUAAAAAAGCUCGAGAACGUCCCGAUAAUUUACCAUUCAAAAGCUGGUGGGAAGAGGCACACCCCGAGGACAGAAAACCGGAAUUAGCCGACGCAAAACAGCUCCUGACAGAACUCCAGGACUGGGUUAAGUCCGUGCCCGACACCCAAGAAAAUGUAAAUCCGGAAGCCGAUGAACUGAAAUUGGUGGGUCAGAAAUUCUGCCAGCUGCCUCUCCACCCCC
Long non-coding RNA from Gopherus flavomarginatus (Mexican gopher tortoise), 438 nucleotides. RefSeq lists it as uncharacterized. The transcript has 3 exons. NCBI's taxonomy places the organism in Eukaryota, Metazoa, Chordata, Testudines, Testudinidae. The record is from RefSeq and is a predicted model, not a curated record.